RNAcentral lists this unclassified non-coding RNA (201 nucleotides) under uncultured fungus. RNAcentral's name for it is "sequence contains ITS1, 5.8S rRNA gene". Lineage: Eukaryota; Fungi. The record is from RNAcentral.
UUGAACUGUUGACACGAGUUGUUGCUGGCCCUCAAAUGGGGGCAUGUGCACGCUCUGUUUACAAAUCCACUCACACCUGUGCACCCUCUGUAGUUCUAUGGUGUGGAGGGCACUGUCCUCUGACCGUGGUUCUAUGUCUUUACACACACACACAGUGACAAAGUCUAAUGGGAUGUAUGUGGCGUUUAACGCAAUAUAAUA